AGUCUGACCCAGUUCCAGGCCCUGGCCUGGCCUCAGCGCCGACCUCGACGUGAGUGAAUGAAAAAAACAUAGCAAUUAUACCUUCUUUCCAUGAUCUAUUUAUUUCAAUAAAUUACAUUACAGUGUCAUUAAUUUGCAGUCCUGUUUUCUCUUGCUGUUUGUUUUUCCCUCUCCGCAGAGGCAGCCCCAGCCCCAUCCCGAGCCCCAGCCCCAGCCCCGGAGGAGGAGGAGGAGGAGGAGGAGGAGGAGGAGGAGCCUUCGUCCCCAGAGCAGGAAGCCCCGCCCAGAGCCCCAGCCCCAGCCCCAAUACCGGCCCCGGAGGAGGAGGAGGAGGAGGAGGAGGAGGAGGAGGAGGAGGAGGAGGAGGAGGAUGAAGAGGAGGAGGAGGAGGAGCAGCAGCAGGAGAAGCACACCCGGAAAGCGGUCCGUAGAAAACUGCCAUUUGGCACUCUUGGGAAAAAAAGCAAGAUGUCAAAUGAAGCUGCUGCUGCUGAGGAGGAGAAGGAGGAGGAGGAGGAGGAGGAGGAAGAGGAGGAUGGAGGAGGAGGAGGCACCAGGGAUGUGUCGGCCUCACGGGUGUUGAUGUCCCUGCUCAAAGGGAAGAGCAGGGGCUCAACAAUUAGGAAAAUUACGUUUGGGACCUCCAUGGACACUUACCUGGAGGAGUACGGGGCCUACCUUUUCUGCCCGGAAGGGACCCCCAAAAUGGUUCAAAACAGCGUGUCGAAGGCCAGCCGAGCAAAGGUGUUCCUGAAAUACCUGACGCUCGGCUGGCCUUCGAUCAAAUAUUGGAGUUGGCAGUUUUUGUUCAACAUCCCCCUAAUAAAGACCUACCCUGCUGCCCUGAGAGCGGCUGGCCUGGCCCCGACAACCAUCGUGUUAUACGUGGGCCAGGCCAUCUCCUUUUUGGAAUAUUUCCGGGACACCCCAGCUAAAUACUCCCGGGUGACCAACGGCCAGCUGGUCAUGGUCACCCGGGAGUUAAGGAAGCUAUUGAAGGACUUGAACCGGAACGUCCUUGGCCACCAGUCCCUGGUGAAACAGGGCAAACUAUUGAGACUGGUGGCCAAGGAGGACCUGGCCAAGUGCCAGGUGAUGGCCAAAGAAAAGAUCCCCUCUCUCCUCGCGGACAUGAAAGCGGCGCCCCCCAGGGACCCAAAGACCCGGUACCGGUUCUUUGGGUACCUGGUGGCCUACCUAUCCUCAAUCUACGGGCACAGGUCGGGGGUGCUGACCCGGAUGAGGGUCAGGGAGGUGCAGGACGCGAUCGGGGACGAGGACACGGGCUACCUCAUUAAUGUCAUGGAGCACAAGACGGUGCGUAAAUUUGGGGUGGCCCAGGUGUACCUCGAGGCCGGCGAGUACGCCUGGUGCCGGGAGUGGCUCCGCCUGCGGGUGCGCUCCGUGCCACAAAACAAGUUUUUUUUUACGUCCUUCGGCAAGGGGGAGCCGAAGGACCUGAUUAAAUAUUUUCGACGAGCUUGGGGGGCGAUGGGCCUCCCCGGCUCCCCGAGUCUAAUGGACAUCAGGUCGGCCGUGGCCACAUACAACUUUGAGACCAACGACGCCGAGGUACGCAGGAGCCUAGGGGACUUCAUGUGCCACGACAUCAGGACCCAGGAGCGCUUCUACGCGCUCCAUAAGAACCUUUCAAGGGCGAAGCAGAUGAGGGACCUCUUCAUCCGCCUUGCGCAGCGAGAGCCCUCAUCUGCUUCCUCCUCCUCCGAUCCUGCUGCAGGCUCCUCCUCCUCCUCCGCUCCUGCUGCAGGCUCCUCCUCCUCCGCUCCUGCUGCAGGCUCCUCCUCCUCCGCUCCUCACGCAGGCUGCUCCUCCUCCUCCUCUGCCCCUGCUGCAGGCUGCUCCUCCUCCUCCUCUGCUCCUGCUGCAGGCUCCUCCUCCUCCCCCGCUCCUCCUGGCUCCGUGAGGAGGAGGCUUCGGCCAUCUGCCACGCAGAGGAUGGCCCAGAGGGUGAAGGAGAAAAGGGGGAUUUCUCCAAAAAAGAGUUGCCGCGUGUUCAUCAAGAGACUGUGAACCCUUCCUGACCCCAGUUCACUUGCCUGUUCACUUGUAUAUACUGUAGUAGUUCAUUUGUUCAUCUUGUUUCAUGUUCAUGUUCAGUGGCGAUUUUGGUUUGGAAACUCUGGUGGGGCCCAUGCAGGAAAAUAUUAUAACGCAAUCCAGAAAUACCACAUAUUACUACCAUCACAAAAAAAAAAGUAGCAAGUGACAGAGGGGACCAAAAUUGCAGCUGAAUAAUGCCAUCACUCAAACGCGAAUCUGACGACAUAUAUUAGGCUAUUAUAGCAAUAGCACCACCAAAUGGCAGCGUUCAAGAUCUCACAAUAUCAAAACUCAAGAAAACAACUACGUGGCAACAAUAAAAACACAACGGCGUACAACCUUUACACAGCAAUCAAUAUACAAAGCCACCACUCACAAUAUACCAAAAAAAGAAGAAGUAUGGUUUAAGUUGCAUUAAGUUUGCAGGCCACCAUACUGUACAAUUAACAAUGAAUCUAGCCUGAUAGAGUGGUUGCCUAUUCAGACCUGGAUAAUCCUGGGUGAAAAUGUAAGUAAGUUUGGGCUAAGAUGGUAAUUACCUGUGCUUUAAGGACAGUGCUGUCUCAGGUCUCCUUUGUGUGGCUGAGGUGAAACACAAGCAUUUUUUUCCGCUUGAACCACUCCUGGUUGAACGAUCUAUUCUUGUCCUUUCCCUCUUGAAUAAUGAUUAAAUCCGUCGGGCGAUGUGGUCCCAAACGUUUUAUCUCCAACUUCUGUUCUAAAGUGCUAAAUCUCACAUGAGACAGAUACUCAACACGAUUCAUCAUUUAAUGAAUGAAACGUCCAUUUGUUGUUAUUUACUGUAACAGUAACUACGUUAGCCAGCUAGCAAGAUCUGAUCGGCUCCCGCCGUAAACCCCGCCCUUUCUACAAAUCAGCCAAUGAGAAGAGCUUUGGGGCACUAAACUUCUGGCCCCACCGCCGAAACAGAAGCGGGCGCUGCGCACGCGCUUGCUCGCGCAACAGCACCAGUUUUCUACACUGCAGCAGACAGGGCCAUCUCGGCUGUGCCCCACCGAGCGGACGCGGAACAGACGAGACGGAGCAACGAACUAUUUCACACACAACUACUACACUACAACAAUUGCGUUCAUCAAAUUAAAACUGCGGACAUGUAAUUAAUUAUUAACAAUUAAUGUAUUAUUAACUUAUGCUCAAUGACAUUUUUGAAAAAAAAAAAAAAGUAUAAUCGUGCCCUGCACGGCAGCGUUCUAUGGUGGGGCCGUGCCCCACUGGCCCCUAAUGCAAAGACGCCACUGUUCAUGUUCAUGUUGUUGUUUAAUUUGUUCAUAUUUAUUCAUGUUCUGUUCUGUUCUUUUUUCUAAUAAGUAAAACAUUUGCAAACUGG
RNAcentral lists this long non-coding RNA (3409 nucleotides) under Gadus morhua (Atlantic cod). RNAcentral's name for it is "lncRNA (ENSGMOG00000022591.1)". The record is from RNAcentral. Lineage: Eukaryota; Metazoa; Chordata; Actinopteri; Gadiformes; Gadidae.